UACGUAGGGCGCAAGCGUUAUCCGGAAUUAUUGGGCGUAAAGAGCUCGUAGGCGGUUUGUCGCGUCUGCCGUGAAAGUCCGGGGCUCAACUCCGGAUCUGCGGUGGGUACGGGCAGACUAGAGUGCGGUAGGGGAGACUGGAAUUCCUGGUGUAGCGGUGAAAUGCGUAGAUAUCAGGAGGAAUACCGGUGGCGAAAGCGACUCUCUGGACGGCAACUGACGCUGAGGCACGAAAGCGUGGGGAGCAAGCAGG
RNAcentral lists this ribosomal RNA (253 nucleotides) under uncultured bacterium. Its description in RNAcentral is "partial 16S ribosomal RNA". It matches the Rfam family "Bacterial small subunit ribosomal RNA", at positions 524 to 776 of the family's 1533-position model. The record is from RNAcentral.